GGCGUUAAGUUGCAGGGUAUAGACCCGAAACCCGGUGAUCUAGCCAUGGGCAGGUUGAAGGUUGGGUAACACUAACUGGAGGACCGAACCGACUAAUGUUGAAAAAUUAGCGGAUGACUUGUGGCUGGGGGUGAAAGGCCAAUCAAACCGGGAGAUAGCUGGUUCUCCCCGAAAGCUAUUUAGGUAGCGCCUCGUGAACUCAUCUUCGGGGGUAGAGCACUGUUUCGGCUAGGGGGUCAUCCCGACUUACCAACCCGAUGCAAACUGCGAAUACCGAAGAAUGUUAUCACGGGAGACACACGGCGGGUGCUAACGUCCGUCGUGAAGAGGGAAACAACCCAGACCGCCAGCUAAGGUCCCAAAGUCAUGGUUAAGUGGGAAACGAUGUGGGAAGGCACAGACAGCCAGGAUGUUGGCUUAGAAGCAGCCAUCAUUUAAAGAAAGCGUAAUAGCUCACUGGUCGAGUCGGCCUGCGCGGAAGAUGUAACGGGGCUAAACCAUGCACCGAAGCUGCGGCAGCGACACUAUGUGUUGUUGGGUAGGGGAGCGU
This 550-nucleotide ribosomal RNA is filed under the name Citrobacter freundii. RNAcentral's name for it is "partial 23S ribosomal RNA". It matches the Rfam family "Bacterial large subunit ribosomal RNA", at positions 691 to 1239 of the family's 2925-position model. Lineage: Bacteria; Pseudomonadati; Pseudomonadota; Gammaproteobacteria; Enterobacterales; Enterobacteriaceae. The record is from RNAcentral.